Molecule: ribosomal RNA, 253 nt
Filed under: uncultured bacterium
Lineage: Bacteria
Description: partial 16S ribosomal RNA
Rfam family: Bacterial small subunit ribosomal RNA
Source: RNAcentral
UACGGGGGGGGCAAGCGUUGUUCGGAAUUACUGGGCGUAAAGGGCGUGUAGGCGGCCAACUAAGUCCGACGUGAAAUCCCCAGGCUUAACCUGGGAACUGCGUCGGAUACUGGAUGGCUUGAAUCCGGGAGAGGGAUGCGGAAUUCCAGGUGUAGCGGUGAAAUGCGUAGAUAUCGUGAGGAACACCAGAGGCGAAGGCGGCUACCUGGACAAUUGCUGACGCUCAGGCACGAAAGCGUGGGGAGCAAAAGGG